Long non-coding RNA from Oryzias melastigma (Indian medaka), 335 nucleotides. RefSeq lists it as uncharacterized. Lineage: Eukaryota; Metazoa; Chordata; Actinopteri; Beloniformes; Adrianichthyidae. The transcript is spliced from 3 exons. The record is from RefSeq and is a predicted model, not a curated record.
GCCUCAUGAAGCAAAUUCAGCAAAGCUCUUGAGUAAAGACACUAAAGACCCCAAAGCACCGACCACAGAUGGAAGGGAUAACGGAGAACUGGAGUACACAUGGGAGCUGAGGGAGUUGCAAAUGCCCUGAAACUGUCAAGACAUCAAAGAUCCUAGAGAAGAGAAAGAUGCUGUCUCUGUGAGAAACUACAUUCCAGAAAAAGGAAAGGGAAAAAGUUGCUAAACCCACCGACAGACAAGAGGGGUUUACACCAGUGCCGAUGAAGCCUCAAACACAUCACUAACAGGUGAGAGUCCAGCAGGACCGCCCUUCCCACCAGGAAUCCACGGAAAAC